GACGAACGCUGGCGGCGCGCCUAACACAUGCAAGUCGAACGGAGUCAAGAGGAGCUUGCUUUUCUUGACUUAGUGGCGAACGGGUGAGUAACGCGUGAGUAACCUGCCCUGGAGUGGGGGACAACAGUUGGAAACGACUGCUAAUACCGCAUAAGCCCACGGAUCUGCAUGGAUCUGCGGGAAAAGGAUUUAUUCGCUCUAGGAUGGACUCGCGUCCAAUUAGCUAGUUGGUGAGGUAACGGCCCACCAAGGCGACGAUUGGUAGCCGGACUGAGAGGUUGAACGGCCACAUUGGGACUGAGACACGGCCCAGACUCCUACGGGAGGCAGCAGUGGGGGAUAUUGCACAAUGGGGGAAACCCUGAUGCAGCGACGCCGCGUGGAGGAAGAAGGUUUUCGGAUUGUAAACUCCUGUCGUUAGGGACGAUA
RNAcentral lists this ribosomal RNA (429 nucleotides) under uncultured bacterium. Its description in RNAcentral is "bacterial SSU rRNA". It matches the Rfam family "Bacterial small subunit ribosomal RNA", at positions 28 to 450 of the family's 1533-position model. The record is from RNAcentral.